GUGGCUUCGGGGCCUGAAACCCCAGGCUUGGCUUGUUUGAUGUUUAGCAUCCCAAAGCAGCACACCACCCCCGCCCCAGCCGGGGAGCCCGGAGCUGUGCGUCGCGGAGGGAGGAAAGCCGCCCUCUCAGUCGGCCGGGCCGGGGCCUGGGCUGGGUUCAGGGAAGGCGAGAAGAGCGGGACAGAGAUGCGCUGAGCCGGGCAGAAGGGAGUCGGGGCUGCCGCCGCCCCCAACAGAGACACUUGUUCUGUUUCUUCAGGAUCAGAGAGAGACUGAUUGAAUGGCUCCAAUUAUCAGGAUUUGAAAACCUAAUAUCAGAAUCCACCACUGUGUGUAAGUCAGCCCUGAGCAGUCUCUUCUUUAGCAACAGGACACUUGCACAAUAUGGGAGCAUCUUUUCUUCUUCACUUGUCCCUGACCUUGUAAAAUAUGAUACAAAGUUUGUCAUGAUUUUUAAGUCUCAUGCAUGGAAAAUCUUGCUGAAAAGAUACGAACUAAAAUGCAUUCCUUAAAAGAUGUGUGCAGCCUGGCAUUGGGAUUGGUGACUGUGAUGGCCAGCCAGGCUGCUCUUUCCACGGUGGCUUUGUGGUUCUUGGAAGAGACAUUAUGAGCAAUCUCGGCACAGUAAGAUCUGUUGCACAUCAGCAGCACUUCAAGCUCCUUGACGUUGUGGACUAGGAACUUCCAGAAGCUACUGGGCAGUGUGCACUUUGUUUUCUUGUUGCUCCUGUAAGCAAUGUUGGUGGGCAUCAAGAUCUGUUCCUUGAAUCUUCUGUUGUACCCUAUUGUCAGUGCCUCUGCAGUUCCACCAGUUGCACUGAUUUUGACAUACUGGUCUUUUUAACAAUCUUGGGCUUCACCAGAGGUCUGAGGGCAGCCGUCAUGCCAAGUAGGAGAUGACUGCCACCUCCACAGGCAGCGUCAAGGGGCAGCUGGAGAAUUUUUACUGUAAUGGUUAUUCUGUGUCAAAAAUGAUCACUAAGCCCUAAAAUCUAUGCACCAUAGGAAGCUAAGAAUUAAUAGGUUGGCUAUAACUGAACGUUUUAAUUAUAAAAUCAAAACAGCAUAUAAAGUUUAAAAAUUUUACUCUCUUUUCUCCUAGCCCCCGCCAUCCCAUUCUCCAGGAGUAACCAUUAAUAAGUCUCUCAUAUAUUUUAAUAGACUUUUUAGAUUUUUUAAAAAAAUAAUUUCUACAACCAAUGGUUGGGCGUGAACUCACAACCCUGAGAUCAAUAGUCACACGCUUUACCGACUAAGCCAGCCAGAUGCCUUAAUUGAUAGACUUAAAAUUCAUAUGCAAGCAUACAUUAUUUUAAGUCACAAAUAAAAUCAUAUAAUAUAUUUACUAUUCUGAAUUUGCUUUUUAUUCAUUUAGCAAUGUAUUUUGGCUAUCAUUCCAUUCCCUACACAUGGGUCUACUUCAUUCUUCUACCAGCUGCACAGAUAUCAAAUAAUAUGCUAUUAUGGAUAUAACCAUUCCCAUAUUGAUGGAUACUUGUUAUUUUUUUAGUCUUGUUUUUUCAAAUAAUACUUCAGCAAACAUAUGCAUAUUUUUGUGUGCUUUUAUAAGUGUAUUUGUAGAAUUAAUUGCCCAAAGGAAAAUGCUAUAUAAAAACACACAAGUUUUGAAUGAUAUUGCCACCUUAUUGAUACAACCAAAGAGGUUGCAUCAAUUUACCUUUCACUGGAAGUUUUUGAGAGGCAGGGAUUUUUAAAAAGGGCUUCACUGAGUUCCACGUGUUACAUAUCUGCCCUCCAUUCCAUCUCUUCAAACUUGACUAAAAAUGGUUGAAGAGCAGCUGGGAUGGUUCAUGAUGACCUAAUGGAAAGAGAACACUCCUGUGACAUCUGUGCUGGGACAGCAGUGAGGGCUGAGGAGGGGACAGCACAGGAACACUGGGGGUAAGAGCUGGGAAGUAUGGCUGCCAUGGGUUUAGGAAUGGUCUGAGUUCUCACCACGUCUCUUUGCUAUCAGCCUUCCUGACAAGUGUGGGGGCUGCCGAGCAGAAUCAGGAGCCAGUCACACGAUUGUCAUAAAAAUGGAGAAGAAGGUAAAAUGGGACCAUGUCACAUAUACACAUUCACAUACGCACACACACGCACACACACACAUACAGUCUCCCUCUCUGCUCAAAUUCACAUUCGGGUAUGCAUCUACCUUUACACCCUGUCUUGGCCAGGCUGCUAGCAAAGUACUGUUCUCUGACCUUCCCAGCUCAUCUUUACCAGGCAGGAGUCCUCCAGGUUUUCUCCCUAUUUUACCAGUCAGCUUCUCUGAGUGUGAAUAACCCAGAAAAUACACCUGACAUUGUCCUAGUUCCUGGAUUUGAUGAGACAUCCUCAUCCUUGAAACCUCCACUCCUUAUUCAGUAUUUUCAUUUGGCCUGGCAUUUUAUGUCCCAUUUUCAUCCUUAAAUAGAAACUUAGAAGUGCCUCUUGAUCUAUACCCUAGAUCUCAGCCUUUUAAAUUGAGGGGUUACUUUAAUGUUCUCAAGGUUAUAGUUACACUAGGAAGUUUAUUUUGUAUUCAGUAUUAACAUGCUAGGUACUGUGGUAGGGACUGUGGAUGCAAAGAUGAAUGAGACAAAGUUCUGCCUUCUAGAAGCUCAUAAAAUACUGAGAAGACAGGCAGCACUAACUAAAACACAGGCCAUUCUUUGAUAAGUGUUAAAACAGAGGUAUUUGAUCAAAAUUCUAUGAAGUCCCACUUCUGGAAAUGUAUCCUACACAUUCAUACAUACUUGUGCAUGUACAAAAGGACACACAGACCAGAGUCAUUCACUGCAGCUUUGUUUGUGAUGGUAAGAGUUAAAAAACAUCCUGAAUGUCUACCAACAAGGACACUCUAUGUGGUUUAAUAAAUGCUCUCUAUAUACUGAUAUGGAGUAAUCUUCAGGAUAUCUUUUUAUAUGAAAAAAAGAAAACUCCAGAAUAUGUGGAAUAUAUGUUGCCUUCCAUAUAAGAAAUGUAGAAAUAUAAGAAUAUGUAUUAAUGUUCGCUUUAUAUGCAUGAAAACAUUGGGAAAUCCCUUAAGAAACCAAUGCAAGUGCUAAUCUAUGGGGUGGGGGUGGGCAUCAGGG
This is an RNA transcript of Canis lupus familiaris (dog), 3080 nucleotides long. RefSeq lists it as uncharacterized. The record is from RefSeq and is a predicted model, not a curated record. Lineage: Eukaryota; Metazoa; Chordata; Mammalia; Carnivora; Canidae. The transcript is spliced from 3 exons.